GAUGAAGAACGCAGCGAAAUGCGAUAAGUAGUGUGAAUUGCAGAAUUCAGUGAAUCAUCGAAUCUUUGAACGCACAUUGCGCCCCAUGGUAUUCCAUGGGGCAUGCCUGUUCGAGCGUCAUUUGUACCUUCAAGCUUUGCUUGGUGUUGGGUGUUUGUCCCGAGGGACUCGCCUUAAAGUAAUUGGCAGCCAGUGUUUGGUUUUGAAGCGCAGCACAAGUCGCGAUUCAAGGCUACACGCCCGCUUCCACAAGCCUUUUUUCACUUUUGACCUCGGAUCAGGUAGGGAUACCCGCUGAACUUAAGCAUAUCAAUAAGCGGAGGA
This 324-nucleotide unclassified non-coding RNA is filed under the name soil metagenome. RNAcentral's name for it is "partial contains 5.8S ribosomal RNA, internal transcribed spacer 2, and large subunit ribosomal RNA". The stretch from base 1 to 120 matches the Rfam family "5.8S ribosomal RNA", at positions 35 to 154 of the family's 154-position model. The record is from RNAcentral.